RNAcentral lists this ribosomal RNA (1398 nucleotides) under uncultured bacterium. RNAcentral describes it as "16S ribosomal RNA". It matches the Rfam family "Bacterial small subunit ribosomal RNA". The record is from RNAcentral.
UUAGAGUUUGAUCCUGGCUCAGGAUGAACGCUAGCGGCAGGCUUAACACAUGCAAGUCGAGGGGCAGCGAGAUCAGUGCUUGCACUGAUUGUCGGCGACCGGCGCACGGGUGCGUAACGCGUAUGCAACCUACCCAUUACAGGGGGAUAACACUGAGAAAUCGGUACUAAUACCCCAUAACAUCCAGGGAGGCAUCUUCUUGGGUUGAAAACUCCGGUGGUAAUGGAUGGGCAUGCGUUGUAUUAGUUAGUUGGUGGGGUAACGGCUCACCAAGACAACGAUACAUAGGGGGACUGAGAGGUUAACCCCCCACAUUGGUACUGAGACACGGACCAAACUCCUACGGGAGGCAGCAGUGAGGAAUAUUGGUCAAUGGACGCAAGUCUGAACCAGCCAUGCCGCGUGCAGGAAGACGGCUCUAUGAGUUGUAAACUGCUUUUGUACGAGGGUAAACGCAGAUACGCGUAUCUGUCUGAAAGUAUCGUACGAAUAAGGAUCGGCUAACUCCGUGCCAGCAGCCGCGGUAAUACGGAGGAUUCAAGCGUUAUCCGGAUUUAUUGGGUUUAAAGGGUGCGUAGGCGGUCGGAUAAGUUAGAGGUGAAAUCCCGGGGCUCAACUUCGGAAUUGCCUCUGAUACUGUUCGGCUAGAGAGUAGUUGCGGUAGGCGGAAUGUAUGGUGUAGCGGUGAAAUGCUUAGAGAUCAUACAGAACACCGAUUGCGAAGGCAGCUUACCAAGCUACUUCUGACGUUGAGGCACGAAAGCGUGGGGAGCAAACAGGAUUAGAUACCCUGGUAGUCCACGCAGUAAACGAUGAUAACUCGUUGUCGGCGAUACAGUGUCGGUGACUAAGCGAAAGCGAUAAGUUAUCCACCUGGGGAGUACGUUCGCAAGAAUGAAACUCAAAGGAAUUGACGGGGGCCCGCACAAGCGGAGGAACAUGUGGUUUAAUUCGAUGAUACGCGAGGAACCUUACCCGGGCUUGAAAGUUAGUGACGGAUCUUGAAAGAGGUCUUCCCUUCGGGGCACGAAACUAGGUGCUGCAUGGUUGUCGUCAGCUCGUGCCGUGAGGUGUCGGGUUAAGUCCCAUAACGAGCGCAACCCCUACCGUUAGUUGCCAGCAGGUCAAGCUGGGCACUCUGACGGGACUGCCGGUGUAAGCCGAGAGGAAGGUGGGGAUGACGUCAAAUCAGCACGGCCCUUACGUCCGGGGCUACACACGUGUUACAAUGGCAGGUACAGAGGGCAGCUACCCAGCGAUGGGAUGCGAAUCUCGAAAGCCUGUCUCAGUUCGGAUUGGAGGCUGAAACCCGCCUCCAUGAAGUUGGAUUCGCUAGUAAUCGCGCAUCAGCCAUGGCGCGGUGAAUACGUUCCCGGGCCUUGCACUCACCGCCCGUCA